Oncorhynchus mykiss (rainbow trout) is the source of this 4226-nucleotide non-coding RNA. The record is from RefSeq and is a predicted model, not a curated record. NCBI's taxonomy places the organism in Eukaryota, Metazoa, Chordata, Actinopteri, Salmoniformes, Salmonidae.
UGAUGUAGUUCCCUAUGUAGUGCUCUAUGUAGUUCCCUAUGUAGUGCUCUAUGUAGUUCCCUAUGUAGUGCUCUAUGUAGUUCCCUAUGUAGUGCCCUAUGUAGUUCCCUAUGUAGUGCUCUAUGUAGUUCCCUAUGUAGUGUUCUAUGUAGUUCCCUAUGUAGUGCCCUAUGUAGUUCCCUAUGUAGUGCUCUAUGUAGGGAAUAGAGUGCCAUUUGGGAUGCAUUCUUUAUCUUCACCCCAGGGGCAUCAAUUGGGUAAGGCAGACAUACCCUAGUUUAACGCCAACAAUUUAAAAUAGGCUACUAAAAUCAGUCCAAUCCCCAGUAAAAGGCAAAUUCAGUUUAGUGGGUAUUGAUGACUGACUUUAGGACUAUACGGAGGCCAGGGAGCGGGAGGGAAAGCUGUUUGUAUGGCUGGCUGGCUGGUUGGCUUUAUGAAGAGGGCACACAGCUGCAGGGAACUUUUUCUCAAAACAGUGCAGAGUUAAGAUGUCUUUGGCUAGGUAACUGAUGUUUGACUUGACAUGAAACUAGACUAGAGUUUUAAUCCCUGUGCUGAGCUAGUGUGUAGCAGCUAAUUACUGAAUGACGUGUUUUGUAGAAUGUUAAGUCCCCUAUUGACUGAGGUGAACGGUGCUACAGGAACACGGUGGUAAUGGCUGGAGUCAAUUUAGCUUGUUUUUGCUGUUCUCCCAUUUGCUUUUAAGAAUUUUUUAAUUUUGUAGAAAUAAAGUAAAUGAGCUUCAAUUUGGUUUAGCUGAAAUGACCCCCUGCUUCACACCAAUGCACCCUCCCUCCCUGACACAGAGAGAUUAAUUACACAUAUGGAGGAGGUGCAGAUGGUUCUGGGAUGGAUGAAGCUGACUGUCAAUGGAUGAACUGUGAACUGGGUGAAUGGGUGAACUGCAGAUGGAUGGAUGAACUGCAGAUGGAUGUGUGAACUGCAGAUGGAUGGGAUAACUGCAGAUGGAUGGGAGAACUAUAGAUGGAUGGAUGGGUGAACUGCAGAUGGAUGGAUGUACUGUAGAUGGAUGGAUGGGUGAACUGCAGAUGGAUGGAUGAACUGUAGAUGGAUGGGUGAACUGCAGAUGGAUGGAUGGGAGAACUGCAGAUGGAUGGGAUAACUAUAGAUGGAUGGAUGGAUGGGUGAACUGCAGAUGGAUGGGAGAACCAUAGACGGAUGGAUGGGUGAACUUCAGAUGGAUGGGUGAACUGUAGAUGGAUGGGUGAACUGUAGAUGGAUGGGUGAACUGUAGAUGGAUGGAUGGGUGAACUGUAGAUGGAUGGAUGGGUGAACUGCAGAUGGAUGGGAGAACUAUAGAUGGAUGGAUGGGAGAACUUCAGAUGGAAGUGCGAACUGCAGAUGGAUGGGAGGACUAUAGAUGGAUGGAUGGGAUAACUAUAGAUGGAUGGAUGGAUGGGUGACCUGCAGAUGGAUGGGAGAACUAUAGAUGGAUGGAUGAGUGAACUGCAGAUGGAUGGAUGGGUGAACUGUAGAUGGAUGGGUGAACUGUAGAUGGAUGGGAGAACUAUAGAUGGACAGGAGAACUGCAUAUGGAUGGGUGAACUGCAGAUGGAUGGGUGAACUGUAGAUGGAUGGGAGAACUGCAGAUGGAUGGAUGGGAGAACUGCAGAUGGAUGGAUGGGGGAAUUGUAGAACUGUAGAUGGAUGGGUGAACUGUAGAUGAACUGCAGAUGGAUGGGUGAACUGUAGAUGGAUGGGUGAACUGUAGAUGGAUGGGGUAACUAUGGAUGGAUGGGUGAACUGCAGAUCGAUGGGUGAACUGUAGAUGGAUGGGUGAACUGCAGAUGGAUGGGUGAACUAUAGAUGGAUGGGAGAACUAUAGAUGGAUGGGCAAUCUGCAGAUGGAUGGGUGAAUUGUAGAUGGAUGGGAGAACUAUAGAUGGAUGGGUGAACUGCAGAUGGAUGGGUGAACUACAGAUGGAUGGGAGAACUAUAGAUGGAUGGAUGGAUGGAUGGGAUACCUGCAGAUGGUUGGGUGAACUGUAGAUGGAUGGGAGAACUGUGGAUGGAUGGGUGAACUGCAGAUGGAUGGAUGGAUGGAUGGGAGACCUGCAGAUGGAUGGGUGAACUGUAGAUGGAUGGGAGAACUGCGGAUGGAUGGGUGAACUGCAGAUGGAUGGAUUGGUGAACUGUAGAUGAAUGGAUGGGUGAACUGUAGAUGGAUGGAUGGGUGAACUGCAGAUGGAUGGAUGGAUGAACUGUAGAUGGAUGGAUGGGUGAACUGCAGAUGGAUGGAUGGAUGGGUGAAUUGUAGAACUGUAGAUGGAUGGGUGAACUGCAGAUGGAUAGAUGGGGGGUGAACUGCAGAUGGAUGGAUGGGUGAACUGUAGAUUGAUGGAUGUGUUAAUUGUAGAUGGAUGGGUGAACUGCAGAUGGAUGGAUGGAUGGGUGAACUGCAGAUGGAUGGAUGGAUGGGUGAACUGCAGAUGGGUGGAUGGGCGAACUGCAGAUGGAUGUGUGAACUGCAGAUGGAUGGGUGAACUGUAGAUGGAUGAACUGCAGGUGGAUGGGUGAACUGUUGAUGGAUGAACUGCAGAUGGAUGGGUGAACCGUAGAUGGAUGGAUGGGUGAAUUGUAGAUGGAUGGGCGAAAUGCAGAUGGAUGGGUGAACUGCAGAUGGAUGGGAGAACUGCAGAUGGAUGGGAGAACUGGGUGAAUGGGUGAAACAGAGUGGGUGAGUGGGAAGCCAAUGAAUGAUUGAUGUGUAUAUAUAGGUAGUUAAAACAUGUGUGUGGUUCUGUUAGGCUCAGUCGGUAGAGCUUGGCGCCUUGCAACGCCAAGGGUCGUGGGUAUGAUUCCUGAUGGGGACAACAUUAUGUAACAUUUAUACCCAAUAGCUGCAUUUAGUAACGCUAGUAUUUACACACUAGUGGUGCUGGGAAUUAGCUUGCAAAAAAACAGAAUAGUCCGCCGGAAGCCAGAAGUUAAAUUAAAUUUUAAUUGUCUGUAUGUUCUGUCCUAAUGCAGGGAGGAAUUUGAAGAAACACAUCUAAUAGCAUAUAAAUUACUUUCCAAACCGGGGUCUGUUGUGGACCCACUUCCUCUCCGCUUACCUCAUGUCAAAAUAAGUCCUGCAUGUGUGCCAUAUCUGCACAAAAAAGCAAGAACUUGUGGGCGACUUUUAUUUUGCCAUGAGGUAAGCAGAGAGAAAGUGACCUCUGAGGAACUGCACGGGUCCACACAGACCCACGUUUGGGAAGUCUGUUUAGUUAUAGUACAUUCCAUGAGAUGUUUUUCUCUCUCAUUCUCCCCUGCAUAAGGGCCAAGCCUACAGACAAAUCGACAGAGUAAGUUGAAAUUCAAUUUUGUUACUGACAAACGGCUUCCGGCGGACUAUUCUAAUACCCAGCAACACUAGCGUGUAAAUACUAGCAUUACUAAAAGCAGCUAGAUACACACGCAUGACUCUAAGUCACUUUGGAUAAAAGCGCUUGCUAAAAUGGCAUGUUGUUGUUAGACCAUAAGUGCUGUCGACCGACGACUACAGGGGGCUUUACAACUAAAUAUAAAUAUCCCGCAUGUGCCUAUACAAUAAUAUUGUCUUAUUCUUCUGGGCUCGUAUUCAUAAAGUGUGUCAGAGUAGGAGUAAUGUUCUCGGAUCAGGUCUCCCCAUAUAGUCUUAUUAUAAUCUAAAAACGUAUCCUAGAACAGCAAUACUACUCUGAGACACUCGAUGAAUACAAACUCUGGUUCGUUGUUGAGUUUAGUUCUUGUGAAUAUGAUAAACUGCUCUGUAAUGUGGUUUUAAUCAAGCUGCUCUGUAAUGGGGUUUUAGAGUGGUUUUAAUCAAGCUGCUCUGUAAUGGGGUUUUAGAGUGGUUUUAAUCAAGCUGCUCUGUAAUGGGGUCUUAGAGUGGUUUUAAUCAAGCUGCUCUGUAAUGGGGUCUUAGAGUGGUUUUAAUCAAGCUGCUCUGUAAUGAGGUUUUAGAGUGGUUUUAAUCAAGCUGCUCUGUAAUGGGGUUUUAGAGUGGUUUUAAUCAAGCUGCUCUGUAAUGGGGUCUUAGAGUGGUUUUAAUCAGUGGACAAAGUCCUCUACCAUUCUACUAUCUCAGGACAAGCUUCUGAAGUGAAUGUAUGACAUGUUUUUAUGCAUUUAAUUUGAAUUUUUUGCCACCUGUGUUUUACAGUAUAUGUUCUGCAUGUGUUUGAACCAUCUGAGCCUCAUAAAGUGGUUUCAUCUGACCAAGCAAUCUUUGUUGA